GACGGAGGGUGCAAGCGUUAUUCGGAAUCAUUGGGCGUAAAGAGCGUGUAGGCGGCUGGUCAAGUCAGAGGUGAAAGCCCAGGGCUUAACCCUGGAAGUGCCUUUGAAACUGGUCGGCUUGAGUUCGGGAGAGGAAAGCGGAAUUCCGGGUGUAGAGGUGAAAUUCGUAGAUAUCCGGAGGAACACUGGUGGCGAAGGCGGCUUUCUGGACCGAAACUGACGCUGAGACGCGAAAGCGUGGGGAGCAAACAGG
RNAcentral lists this ribosomal RNA (253 nucleotides) under uncultured bacterium. Its description in RNAcentral is "partial 16S ribosomal RNA". It matches the Rfam family "Bacterial small subunit ribosomal RNA", at positions 524 to 776 of the family's 1533-position model. The record is from RNAcentral.